AUUGAACGCUGGCGGCAUGCCUUACACAUGCAAGUCGAACGGCAGCGCGGGGGCAACCCUGGCGGCGAGUGGCGAACGGGUGAGUAAUAUAUCGGAACGUACCCAAGAGUGGGGGAUAACGUAGCGAAAGUUACGCUAAUACCGCAUACGAUCUAAGGAUGAAAGUGGGGGACCGCAAGGCCUCACGCUCCUGGAGCGGCCGAUAUCUGAUUAGCUAGUUGGUGGGGUAAAGGCCUACCAAGGCAUCGAUCAGUAGCUGGCCUGAGAGGACGACCAGCCACACUGGGACUGAGACACGGCCCAGACUCCUACGGGAGGCAGCAGUGGGGAAUUUUGGACAAUGGGGGCAACCCUGAUCCAGCAAUGCCGCGUGAGUGAAGAAGGCCUUC
RNAcentral lists this ribosomal RNA (389 nucleotides) under uncultured bacterium. Its description in RNAcentral is "bacterial SSU rRNA". It matches the Rfam family "Bacterial small subunit ribosomal RNA", at positions 29 to 419 of the family's 1533-position model. The record is from RNAcentral.